CUAAGAAUCUUCUGCAAUGGACGAAAGUCUGACAGAGCGACGCCGCGUGGGUGAAGAAGGCCGGAAGGUUGUAAAACCCUUUUCUAUUCGAGGAAUAACCGCAGGAGGCAAUGCCUGCGAGAUGACGGUAGGGUAGGAAUAAGCCCCGGCCAAUUACGUGCCAGCAGCCGCGGUAACACGUAUGGGGCGAGCGUUGUUCGGAAUCAUUGGGCGUAAAGGGCGCGUAGGCGGAUAUGCAAGCUUGGUGUGAAAGACCGCAGCUUAACUGCGGGAGCGCGCUGAGAACUGUGUAUCUAGAGUUCAAGAGGGGAAGCUGGAAUUCCAGGUGUAGGGGUGAAAUCUGUAGAUAUCUGGAAGAACAUCAGUGGCGAAGGCGAGCUUCUGGCUAUGAACUGACGCUGAGGCGCGAAAGCGUGGGGAGCAAACA
Molecule: ribosomal RNA, 427 nt
Filed under: uncultured bacterium
Lineage: Bacteria
Description: bacterial SSU rRNA
Rfam family: Bacterial small subunit ribosomal RNA
Source: RNAcentral